UUCCAGCUGACGAAUCCAAAAUAGAACGAAACACUAGUCCUGGAU
Schistosoma haematobium is the source of this 45-nucleotide non-coding RNA. The record is from Rfam. Lineage: Eukaryota; Metazoa; Platyhelminthes; Trematoda; Strigeidida; Schistosomatidae.